AGCAGCCGCGGUAAUUCCAGCUCCAAUAGCGUAUAUUAAUGUUGCUGCAGUUAAAAAGCUCGUAGUUGGAUUUCUGAUGCGGCGCACCUGGCCCGCCACGGUUUCGUGUGUGAGUGCCGGGAUGCGCCUGUCACUUUUCUGGUCAACUAUUGUGCCCUUCACUGGGUGUGAUAGCUAGCCAGAUAUUUUACUUUGAAAAAAU
Molecule: ribosomal RNA, 202 nt
Filed under: uncultured Glomus
Lineage: Eukaryota; Fungi; Glomeromycota; Glomeromycetes; Glomerales; Glomeraceae
Description: partial 18S ribosomal RNA
Rfam family: Eukaryotic small subunit ribosomal RNA
Source: RNAcentral